Molecule: small nuclear RNA, 105 nt
Organism: Carya illinoinensis
Lineage: Eukaryota; Viridiplantae; Streptophyta; Magnoliopsida; Fagales; Juglandaceae
Source: RefSeq, a predicted model, not a curated record
ACAAUCCUCGGAAUUUCUAUCAUUUCUUUCUCUCCAUACAGAGAAGAUUAGCAGGGUCCCUACGCAAGGAUGACACACAUAAAUCGACAAAUAGUAUCAAAGCCU